This 253-nucleotide ribosomal RNA is filed under the name uncultured bacterium. Its description in RNAcentral is "partial 16S ribosomal RNA". It matches the Rfam family "Bacterial small subunit ribosomal RNA", at positions 524 to 776 of the family's 1533-position model. The record is from RNAcentral.
UACAGAGGGGGCAAGCGUUGUUCGGAAUUACUGGGCGUAAAGGGCGCGUAGGUGGCCUUCUAAGUUGAACGUGAAAUCCCUGGGCUCAACCCAGGAACUGCGUCCAAGACUGGGAGGCUUGAAUCCGGGAGAGGGAUGCGGAAUUCCAGGUGUAGCGGUGAAAUGCGUAGAUAUCAGGAGGAACACCGGUGGCGAAGGCGGAUCUCUGGGCCAUUACUGACGCUGAGGAGCGAAAGCGUGGGGAGCGAACAGG